GGGGGGAGGGAGAGAGAGGGGAAGCGAGAGAGAGAGAGAGAGAGAGGGGAAGAGGAAGAGGGAGGUAAGGCGGAUCUUAGUUAGAUGAAACAGACCCACACGUUUACAAUAGAAGCACCGUACCGUUUAGUUCAAAACGCUGUUUUCUACCGGUCCUGAGACUUUCUACUUUAACCAGCCUGUGCGUGCGUGACCUUUGACGCUCGGUGCGUCGCAGAGAGGACGAGGCGGUUCGGGAUCCGGCGACCAGCCGCUCGGACGUCCAAGGUGAUAAAAGUCAAGUAUUUCUUCCCAGAGAGAAGAGGAGUCUCAUGUACCACGCGCUGAUACAGAAGGGUUUGUGAAGCCAUUUUCAGCAGCGGGGUGGACCAGAGAUAUCUUUCAUGAGAACAUCCAGAGCCCUUCCACCCAGAGCCCUUCCACCCAGAGCCCUUCCACCCAGAGCCCUUCCAUCCAGAGCCCUUCCACCCAGAGCCCUUCAAUCCAGAGCCCUUCCAUCCAGAGCCCUUCCACCCAGAGCCCUUCCAUCCAGAGCCCUUCCACCCAGAGCCCUUCCACCCAGAGCCCUUCCACCCAGAGCCCUUCCACCCAGAGCCCUUCCACCCAGAGCCCUUCCACCCAGAGCCCUUCCUAAUGUCAGUCAAACCGCUAAGACGACGCUGUCAUUUUAACACAUUUUAGCAGACAAGACGACAACUCAAAAUCCCAAGAUAAUGUUGCCCAUCAACCGUUCUCUUGUCCAGAGCAACUUACAGUAGUGAAUGCAUUACAUUUCAUACGUUUUUUUUCUCCCCCCCGUGGGAAUCGAACCCACAACCCUUGGCGUUGCAAACACCAUGCUCUACCACCUGAGCCACACGGGAUUUUCACACACUUUGAGUUGAUUUUGAUCGUAGCCUAAGUAAUUCAAGACAAAAGGCAGAAUAUGGGUGUUGAAACAUUUGGAUGGGCACUACAUGUGAAAUAGAUUUUCACAUUUUCAACUUGUGAACAAGACUCGGAUGUAUUCGUCAAGAAGACUGAUAUAGGCAAAAUUCUGAGUCCAAGUCAAAAGUGUUAAAGAGAAAAGUCAAUACUUGGGGGGACAUUCUUUCUGUCCCCUUUUGUUCGCGAGGCUUUGGGAAUGAAACGUGGGUCUUUAUAGAGAAGAAAGACCUGCACACUGCUCUUUCCAGCAUCCCUUCAGUUCACUACGCUACUGAAACGUGGGUCUUUAUAGAGAAGAAAGACCUGCACACUGCUCUUUCCAGCAUCCCUUCAGUUCACUACGCUUCUGAAACACGGUCGACCACAACACACCGUCGUCUCUCUGCUUCCUCAUUCACUUGACUUCUAUGCUGUCGGCCGCUGCACCUUUUACCCAACGAGGUUAUCUGACCGCUUUAUCUUCUCCAGCUUUACGAUGUUGAGAGAUGGAACAGAGAUGGGAUGCGGUCCAGCUGGGACCGGAACCUUCCACCGGGUCAGAGUUCUGAUUGGUCCCCUCUCAAUCCUAACCCAGGCUUGUGAUUGGCCUCCGUCCAGCGGUCGUCCAUAGGGGAUGUCCACUGGUCCAGGAAGUUGUAUUUUAGGAAGUUCCCAGACUCUGGUAUCAGUUUAAAAGUCACCAGUAACUCCUCCCUUCACUGCCCUGUGAGCUGUAAUGUGUUGGACAGGAAACGGACGGGUUUUUCUUCUGAUGGGAAUAUGAGUUUCCUCUGUAAUCCUAGACCUAGCUCUAC
Molecule: transfer RNA, 1721 nt
Filed under: Salmo salar (Atlantic salmon)
Lineage: Eukaryota; Metazoa; Chordata; Actinopteri; Salmoniformes; Salmonidae
Description: lncRNA (ENSSSAG00000086549.1)
Source: RNAcentral